CUCCAGAUGCCCAAAAGUGAUGGAGCUCAGCCCUCCAAACUGCUGUUCACGUCUUACAAAGAAGGUGCUGGCACCAGACCUGCUAAUUGCAGUGGCUCUUUCCACAUAGACCUGGGGACACAGGGAGCCCCAGACAGCACUGGAAAUGGCUGGCAGUGCAGCAACCCGGUGAGCAGGGCUGUGCAGGGGAGAGUAGCACAGGGCAGCAGGGCAGGAGGCUGCUCCUUCCUUCCUUCCUCCCCUCUGCCUUGCAGAUGGACAGCCCAACAGCCUGCCAGCACCUUCAGUGCUGCACACAUCAGCGCCUCCAGGAACCACAAGGGAUGGUGUGAAACAGAACUCUGAAGACCAGGACGGAACAAGAGCCUAAAAGGGAUGGAUGGGCCCAAUGCAGAAAUACCACAGGCACCACGUCCAGAACAGAAGGAAGCACCGUAAGCGAGCGCUGCUGAGACCGGGAUGGAAGUUGAGGAGCCACCAAGACUGCCAGCCUUCCUGCCUCGACCCCCAGACAACCACCGAGAAACCAGCACACAAUUAAAGACUAUUUGCACAACCUUCAGAAUAAACUUUCUCAUUCCUUACA
Molecule: non-coding RNA, 586 nt
Organism: Meleagris gallopavo (turkey)
Lineage: Eukaryota; Metazoa; Chordata; Aves; Galliformes; Phasianidae
Source: RefSeq, a predicted model, not a curated record